GUGCUCGCUUUGGCAGCGCAUAUACUAAAUUUGGAAUGAUACAGAGAAGAUUAGCAUGGCCUCUGUGCAAGGAUAAUAUGCAAAUUCAUGAAGUGUUCUAUAUUUUU
This is a small nuclear RNA of Octodon degus (degu), 107 nucleotides long. The record is from Ensembl. Lineage: Eukaryota; Metazoa; Chordata; Mammalia; Rodentia; Octodontidae.